This 229-nucleotide ribosomal RNA is filed under the name uncultured bacterium. RNAcentral's name for it is "partial 16S ribosomal RNA". It matches the Rfam family "Bacterial small subunit ribosomal RNA", at positions 568 to 796 of the family's 1533-position model. The record is from RNAcentral.
UGCGCAGGCGGGUUUGUAAGUCAGAGGUGAAAUCCCACGGCCUAACCGUGGAACUGCCUUUGAUACUGCAAAUCUUGAGUCCUGGAGAGGUCACUGGAAUUCGUGGUGUAGCGGUGAAAUGCGUAGAUAUCACGAGGAACGCCGGAGGUGUAGACGAGUGACUGGACAGGUACUGACGCUGAGGCACGAAAGCGUGGGGAGCAAACAGGAUUAGAUACCCUGGUAGUCC